UUGAAAAAAGCUUCUGUCCAAGUUUGGUAAAAACCCAGGACAGUUUAUGAAUCUGAUAAAUGUUUAAAAAAUUCUUGAUACUAUCUUAUGAUUAUAAAGAAGCUUCUGUCCAAGUUUAAUAGAAAUCAAGGAUAGUUUAAGAAAGGUUCAUUAAAAUUUCAAAAACUUUAACCACAGAGUGAAUGUUUGUAGACGCCACUGACGCCGACGGAAUGUAGGAUCGCUUAGUCUCGCUUUUUCGACUAAAGUCGAAGACUCGACAAAAAAAAACAUACAAUUGAAAUCAGAUUUCUUUCUGACAUACGGGCGCACUACGCUUUUUUAUACACCCGUCAAUAUUUUGACGGGACGUUUUAUGGUAUACCAAUGUCUGGCGUCCGUCCGUCCGCAUGUCGCACUGUAACUUGAGAACCGCUUAUCCAUUUCAUGAAACUUAACAUAGUUGUUUCUUAUGAUGGUUUUCGGAUUUAACUCAAAUUUUUAGUGAAACAAUUUGUAUAUACACGUAUCUUUGUCGGAAUUCAAAUAAAAACCAAAAACUUAUAAAUAUAUAUAUUCCUUUUGUCUUCGUAUAUCUAACAUAAACAUUUUAACAAACUGACCACACUCUUACUUAUAAGUUGGCGCACAUCAAAGUCGGUCGUGCUCCUAUGGCAAACAAUUUUGUUGGGAAAGAAAUAAAACAACAGCAAAAUUAUUUUUCCUUUUUAACAACACAUUUAAUUAUAAAUAUUUGAAGCAUAAAUCUUUUCGAUACAAUUGUUUUAAAUUACUUAAAAUAAAAAAAGAUCGUCAUUGUUUAAUCAGUUGCUAUGUUAUUUGGCACGUGUCAAUCGGUUCAUUGAUUUUCGGCAUAUCAAAGAAAAACCGGCACGUGUCUAAAUAAUGUCGAACAUCUCGUUUAAUUAUGAUUAUUUUUCUGAAAAUUUGAAAUUUAUGCAUUAAAUAUCAAUCUCUAACAUGAUAUAUAAAAAUAAUACAUAAACAGCAAACCUUCUAGUCCUUAGUGGCAUUGUAUAGUCAAAGCCUUAGUGCACUAAGGACUCCUUAGCAGUGUUUAGACGUACCGAAAAAAAAAACCAUCCGUCAUUCUUUGAUAAUCAUAGAAGGUUAACAACUAGUCUGUUUCCCGGCCGUUAUUGAAAUUCUUGACCAUACCUUAAUAUUUGUAUAUUCCGAAGGCAUACUGAAUGUUUUACGGAGGGGACCAACCUAGUCAGUAACAACGUACUAUUGUGAAUUAUUUUUCCGGAUAAUAAUCUUUUAGGCAUACAUUAAAAACGGUGUCAUUGAUAGGCAACCAUGAACACAAUGAAAAAUGAAUCCGUGAAAGUGUUCCAUGUUUAUUCCAUUCAAAUAAAGACUUGUUAUGAUAAUACCAUAUAUUUAACUAUUUUAUAAAAAAAAAAAAAAAAAACAAAAAAAAACAAGAUUAUAUCUUAAACUUGUAAAUCCAAUUUCAAGUUUUAAAAGUUCCUCAAUUUAAAAUAAUACAUGAUAUAUUUGCGUGAUCUUAUAUUUGUUUUAUUAAAAUAAUGCCUUCAAAUACAUAUAAUGUUUAUUUUUAUUCAAUUUUCCACAAAACAUUUUAGCUUUGUUUAAAUGAAAUUCAGAACAGAGAAUUCAAACACUGUUGAAGAGAAUAUACAUAUUCAUGUUAAUUCGCCUCAGUUUAAUUUGUUAAUUCAAGUUUGACAUUUAACAUUUUAAUCCGCAAUCCACAUUUACCCGACAAUCUUGUAUAUUGUAUUUUCUCAACGGAAUAACAUAACGUGCAUGUGACCAUCAGAAACUAAGACAAAAAUGAU
Molecule: long non-coding RNA, 1808 nt
Filed under: Mytilus galloprovincialis (Mediterranean mussel)
Lineage: Eukaryota; Metazoa; Mollusca; Bivalvia; Mytilida; Mytilidae
Source: RNAcentral